RNAcentral lists this ribosomal RNA (807 nucleotides) under uncultured bacterium. RNAcentral's name for it is "bacterial SSU rRNA". It matches the Rfam family "Bacterial small subunit ribosomal RNA", at positions 641 to 1447 of the family's 1533-position model. The record is from RNAcentral.
UUGGAGUGCGGGAGAGGUGAGUGGAANNNNNNNUGUAGCGGUGAAAUGCGUAGAUAUCAGGAGGAACACCGGUGGUGUAGACGGCUCACUGGACCGUAACUGACGCUGAGACACGAAAGCGUGGGUAGCAAACAGGAUUAGAUACCCUGGUAGUCCACGCCCUAAACGAUGCAUAUUUGGUGUGGGCAGUUCAUUCUGUCCGUGCCGGAGCUAACGCGUUAAAUAUGCCGCCUGGGGAGUACAGUCGCAAGGCUGAAACUCAAAGGAAUUGACGGGGGCCCGCACAAGCGGUGGAGCAUGUGGUUCAAUUCGACGCAACGCGAAGAACCUUACCUGGGCUCGAACGGCUGACCAACGGCGGUGGAAACAUCGCUACCCCGCAAGGGGGUUCAGUCGAGGUGCUGCAUGGCUGUCGUCAGCUCGUGUCGUGAGAUGUUGGGUUAAGUCCCGCAACGAGCGCAACCCUUGUCCUGUGUUGCCAUGUCGAAAGACGGAACUCGCAGGAGACCGCCAGGGAUAACCUGGAGGAAGGUGGGGAUGACGUCAAGUCCUCAUGGCCUUUAUGUCCAGGGCUACACACGUGCUACAAUGGACGGUACAAAGCGCAGCAAACCCGCGAGGGGGAGCCAAUCGCAAAAAACCGUUCUCAGUUCGGAUUGCAGGCUGCAACUCGCCUGCAUGAAGCUGGAAUCGCUAGUAAUGGCAGAUCAGCACGCUGCCGUGAAUACGUUCCCGGGCCUUGUACACACCGCCCGUCACAUCACGAAAGUGGGUNNNCUAGAAGUCUGCGCGCUGACCCGCAANGGA